Molecule: ribosomal RNA, 373 nt
Filed under: uncultured organism
Description: partial 16S ribosomal RNA
Rfam family: Bacterial small subunit ribosomal RNA
Source: RNAcentral
GUAGGUGGCAAGCGUUGUCCGGAAUUAUUGGGCGUAAAGCGCGCGCAGGUGGUUCCUUAAGUCUGAUGUGAAAGCCCCCGGCUCAACCGGGGAGGGUCAUUGGAAACUGGGGAACUUGAGUGCAGGAGAGGAAAGUGGAAUUCCACGUGUAGCGGUGAAAUGCGUAGAUAUGUGGAGGAACACCAGUGGCGAAGGCGACUUUCUGGCCUGUAACUGACACUGAGGCGCGAAAGCGUGGGGAGCAAACAGGGAUUAGAUACCCUGGUAGUCCACGCCGUAAACGAUGAGUGCUAAGUGUUGGGGGGGUUUCCCGCCCCUCAGUGCUGCAGCUAACGCAUUAAGCACUCCGCCUGGGGAUACGGUCGCAAGACUG